RNAcentral lists this ribosomal RNA (506 nucleotides) under uncultured bacterium. RNAcentral describes it as "partial 16S ribosomal RNA". It matches the Rfam family "Bacterial small subunit ribosomal RNA", at positions 29 to 523 of the family's 1533-position model. The record is from RNAcentral.
AGUGAACGCUGGCGGCGUGCUUAACACAUGCAAGUCGAACGGUAACAGGAAGCAGCUUGCUGCCUCGCUGACGAGUGGCGGACGGGUGAGUAAUGUCUGGGAAACUGCCUGAUGGAGGGGGAUAACUACUGGAAACGGUAGCUAAUACCGCAUAACGUCGCAAGACCAAAGAGGGGGACCUUCGGGCCUCUUGCCAUCGGAUGUGCCCAGAUGGGAUUAGCUAGUAGGUGGGGUAACGGCUCACCUAGGCGACGAUCCCUAGCUGGUCUGAGAGGAUGACCAGCCACACUGGAACUGAGACACGGUCCAGACUCCUACGGGAGGCAGCAGUGGGGAAUAUUGCACAAUGGGCGCAAGCCUGAUGCAGCCAUGCCGCGUGUAUGAAGAAGGCCUUCGGGUUGUAAAGUACUUUCAGCGGGGAGGAAGGGAGUAAAGUUAAUACCUUUGCUCAUUGACGUUACCCGCAGAAGAAGCACCGGCUAACUCCGUGCCAGCAGCCGCAGUAA